Molecule: ribosomal RNA, 400 nt
Filed under: uncultured bacterium
Lineage: Bacteria
Description: bacterial SSU rRNA
Rfam family: Bacterial small subunit ribosomal RNA
Source: RNAcentral
CUGGCCUUGACAUCCUGCGAACUUUCUAGAGAUAGAUUGGUGCCUUCGGGAACGCAGUGACAGGUGCUGCAUGGCCGUCGUCAGCUCGUGUCGUGAGAUGUUGGGUUAAGUCCCGUAACGAGCGCAACCCCUAUCCCUAGUUGCUAGCAGUUCGGCUGAGAACUCUAGGGAGACUGCCGGUGACAAACCGGAGGAAGGUGGGGAUGACGUCAGGUCAUCAUGGCCCUUACGGCCAGGGCUACACACGUGCUACAAUGGUGCGUACAGAGGGCUGCAAACCCGCGAGGGGGAGCUAAUCUCACAAAACGCAUCGUAGUCCGGAUCGGAGUCUGCAACUCGACUCCGUGAAGUCGGAAUCGCUAGUAAUCGCGAAUCAGAAUGUCGCGGUGAAUGCGUUCCC